RNAcentral lists this ribosomal RNA (122 nucleotides) under Prolemur simus (greater bamboo lemur). The record is from RNAcentral. Lineage: Eukaryota; Metazoa; Chordata; Mammalia; Primates; Lemuridae.
CCUACGGCCAUAACACCCUGAAUGCACCCGAUCUUGUCUGAUCUCGGAAGCUAAGCAGGGCCGGACCUGGUUAGUAUUUGGAUGGGAGAAUUCUGUCUUGGAUCUCUAGGUGGCUGGUGGGA